Molecule: ribosomal RNA, 496 nt
Filed under: uncultured bacterium
Lineage: Bacteria
Description: partial 16S ribosomal RNA
Rfam family: Bacterial small subunit ribosomal RNA
Source: RNAcentral
GAUGAACGCUGGCGGCGUGCCUAAUACAUGCAAGUCGAGCGAACGGACGAGAAGCUUGCUUCUCUGAUGUUAGCGGCGGACGGGUGAGUAACACGUGGAUAACCUACCUAUAAGACUGGGAUAACUUCGGGAAACCGGAGCUAAUACCGGAUAAUAUUUUGAACCGCAUGGUUCAAAAGUGAAAGACGGUCUUGCUGUCACUUAUAGAUGGAUCCGCGCUGCAUUAGCUAGUUGGUAAGGUAACGGCUUACCAAGGCAACGAUGCAUAGCCGACCUGAGAGGGUGAUCGUCCACACGGGAACUGAGCAACGGUCCGGACUCCUACGGGAGGCGGCAGUAGGAAAUCUUCCGCAUGGGCGAAAGCCUGACGGAGCAACGCCGCGUGAGUGAUGAAGGUCUUCGGAUCGUAAAACUCUGUUACUAGGGAAGAACAUAUGUGUAAGUAACUGUGCACAUCUUGACGGUACCUAAUCAGAAAGCCACGGCUAACUACGUG